Molecule: unclassified non-coding RNA, 526 nt
Filed under: Athalia rosae (coleseed sawfly)
Lineage: Eukaryota; Metazoa; Arthropoda; Insecta; Hymenoptera; Athaliidae
Description: misc RNA ENSAEAG00005007777.1
Source: RNAcentral
GAUUUUUUACGAUUUCGGUCCGCCGUUUUGGAAUUCCCCAAGAGAACCAUAUUUUGACAAACAACUACAAACGGCGAUGUCAACCGCUUGAAUGAACAAACUUACGUUGAAAAUAUCGUCGAAGAGCUGAGAGUUGGGCUGUGGCUUCAAAAAGUAUAAAUUUUGUCCAUAAUUUCCAGUUCCGUAACUACUCCCCUCUCUACUCCCACUCUCAAUAAUUUGAGAACAAGUUUUUCUGAUCCUAGUGACCAGAAUCCCUGCCGCUGUUUUGCCACCACUCCACAGGAUCUGCUUUUAUAUCACGAAGCGCAUUGUGAGCUGGACUCUGAACAGGAUUACACUAUUUCAAACCCGAUGAUCGGUACACGUUUUCGAAUCUUCCUUAUUUCCGCCAACUCGAUUCCCGGCACUGCUUAAAAUACCGCGUUUAAAACUUCACGCGCAACGCAGCUGUGAAAUCGAAAAAUGAAACUUUACAACGUCCGCGGAUCGAUCCAAUUUUCAAAACCGAUAAUGAUACACAUUC